Molecule: long non-coding RNA, 380 nt
Filed under: Helianthus annuus (common sunflower)
Lineage: Eukaryota; Viridiplantae; Streptophyta; Magnoliopsida; Asterales; Asteraceae
Description: hypothetical non coding rna
Source: RNAcentral
UUCUUGCAAAUUGAAGGCUCAAAUCCUAACCAAAACAAAAUCCGAGCUUAGAAUCGUGUUCCUCAUCGCGAGAGGGUCUAGAGAAAUGCCUAAGCAAAGAGUCCGGUUCCUCUAGCGGACAAGCCGAGGGGAAAUCACGAGGAAAAGGCGCGCUCUAAAGUUCUCAGGUACCAAGAAAAAGGAUGAAGAUCAAGCAAAUGAAUCGAACCGAACACACACAUUUUAAGAACGCUUCCGCAUCCAAACUUUGUGUUAGAAACUAUGUAAAUUAAUGGUAGUUACUGUCUUGUAUGUGGUUUGUAACAACAAUACACGAAGGUUGUGUUAAUUUUGGGUUAAACUAUGAAAGUUUUUGUAAAGUCGUCAUUUUGGCGUUAAAU